GGAUUAGAUACCCUGGUAGUCCACGCCGUAAACGAUGUCUACUUGGAGGUUGUGCCCUUGAGGCGUGGCUUCCGGAGCUAACGCGUUAAGUAGACCGCCUGGGGAGUACGGCCGCAAGGUUAAAACUCAAAUGAAUUGACGGGGGCCCGCACAAGCGGUGGAGCAUGUGGUUUAAUUCGAUGCAACGCGAAGAACCUUACCUGGUCUUGACAUCCACAGAACUUUCCAGAGAUGGAYUGGUGCCUUCGGGAACUGUGAGACAGGUGCUGCAUGGCUGUCGUCAGCUCGUGUUGUGAAAUGUUGGGUUAAGUCCCGCAACGAGCGCAACCCUUAUCCUUUGUUGCCAGCGRUUAGGYCGGGAACUCAAAGGAGACUGCCAGUGAUAAACUGGAGGAAGGUGGGGAUGACGUCAAGUCAUCAUGGCCCUUACGACCAGGGCUACACACGUGCUACAAUGGCGCAUACAAAGAGAAGCGACCUCGCGAGAGCAAGCGGACCUCAUA
Molecule: ribosomal RNA, 503 nt
Filed under: Salmonella enterica
Lineage: Bacteria; Pseudomonadati; Pseudomonadota; Gammaproteobacteria; Enterobacterales; Enterobacteriaceae
Description: bacterial SSU rRNA
Source: RNAcentral